AUUGAACGCUGGCGGCAGGCCUAACACAUGCAAGUCGAGCGGAUGAAGGGAGCUUGCUCCUGGAUUCAGCGGCGGACGGGUGAGUAAUGCCUAGGAAUCUGCCUGGUCGUGGGGGCUAACGUCCGGAAACGGGCGCUAAUACCGCAUCCGUCCUGAGGGAGAAAGUGGGGGAUCUUCGGACCUCACGCUAUCAGAUGAGCCUAGGUCGGAUUAGCUAGUUGGUGGGGUAAAGGCCUACCAAGGCGACGAUCCGUAACUGGUCUGAGAGGAUGAUCAGUCACACUGGAACUGAGACACGGUCCAGACUCCUACGGGAGGCAGCAGUGGGGAAUAUUGGACAAUGGGCGAAAGCCUGAUCCAGCCAUGCCGCGUGUGUGAAGAAGGUCUUCGGAUUGUAAAGCACUUUAAGUUGGGAGGAAGGGCAGUAAGUUAAUACCUUGCUGUUUUGACGUUACCAACAGAAUAAGCACCGGCUAACUUCGUG
RNAcentral lists this ribosomal RNA (484 nucleotides) under uncultured bacterium. RNAcentral's name for it is "partial 16S ribosomal RNA". It matches the Rfam family "Bacterial small subunit ribosomal RNA", at positions 30 to 507 of the family's 1533-position model. The record is from RNAcentral.